This 465-nucleotide ribosomal RNA is filed under the name uncultured Arsenophonus sp. RNAcentral describes it as "bacterial SSU rRNA". It matches the Rfam family "Bacterial small subunit ribosomal RNA", at positions 338 to 795 of the family's 1533-position model. The record is from RNAcentral. Lineage: Bacteria; Pseudomonadati; Pseudomonadota; Gammaproteobacteria; Enterobacterales; Morganellaceae.
CCUACGGGAGGCUGCAGUGGGGAAUAUUGCACAAUGGGCGCAAGCCUGAUGCAGCCAUGCCGCGUGUAUGAAGAAGGCCUUCGGGUUGUAAAGUACUUUCAGUCGUGAGGAAGGUGUUAAGGUUAAUAACCUUAGCAAUUGACGUUAGCGACAGAAGAAGCACCGGCUAACUUCGUGCCAGCAGCCGCGGUAAUACGGAGGGUGCGGGCGUUAAUCGGAAUUACUGGGCGUAAAGGGCACGCAGGCGGUUUAAUAAGUUGGGUGGGAAAGUCCCGGGCUUAACCGUGGAAUGGCAUUUGAAACUGGUUUGGUUGGGUGCUGAUAGGGGGGGGUGAAUUCCAUGUGUAGCGGUGAAAUGCGGAGAGAUGAUGAAGAAUUCCGGUGGCGAAGGCAGGCCCCCUGACAACGACUGACGCUCAUGGGCGAAAGCGUGGGUAGCAAACAGGAUUAGAUACCCUGGUAGUC